CCCCAUUCUCUCCUUCCUCCACCCCGAUCUCCUCCCUCCUCCCCGCCCCCCUCGCUUCCUCCACAGCAGCGCCCGCCCCUCUCCCCCACUAUCUCCCCCAUCCCCAUCUCUCCUGCCCCAGCCGCCUGAGCCAGCGGCAUAGCGCCCCUCCUCCCUCCUCGAGCCAGCGGCCCAGCGCCCCUCCUCCCCGCCGCCCGUCGCCUUCCGGCCCGCCUCCUCCCCGCCCGAACUGCCGCCGCCGCACUUCCACGACCUCCUCGCCGGGCUCAGCCCUGCCUUCGCCUCCCUCUUCUUCGACCACGGCGCCGCUGACGGGGGGGACUGGCUCUAUCUCGCCGGCGGAUUAGUCGCCGCGGGCCGGGAUCUGGCCGCCUCGGCCUCCACACCGGUGGAUCCGGCGGCCGCGGGCCGGGAUUCGGCCUCCACGCCGGUCGAUCUCAGUGGCUCGCUCUCUCCUCGUCGGCACUGGAUCCGGUGACCUUCUUCCACCGGCAUGCGGAGGAGCAUUAGCGCGGGGGGCCUGGAGCACCGGCGGCGGCGGGCGGCGGCACCGUGUCCUUGAGAAGCCGUCGAUUUUUUUUUUAUUUGUGGAUUCGGGGCAGGCUUGGGGACGGCCUCAUUUUUUUUUAUUUUCUUCUAAUCCAUAUCAGUGUCGGGCGUGUAGCUUGACCGUUACUGAUGAGGUCCCUCAUCAGUAAUGGGCGGACACAUCAGUAACAGGAAGUUAGUGACGGGCGGUCCGCCCGUUACUGAUACACUUUUUUGACCGUCACUAACGAGUCUUUUUGUAGUAGUGGGAGUAACAUAGAUGAUAACAUAAGUGCCAACUAA
Long non-coding RNA from Brachypodium distachyon (stiff brome), 831 nucleotides. RefSeq lists it as uncharacterized. The transcript has 2 exons. The record is from RefSeq and is a predicted model, not a curated record. Lineage: Eukaryota; Viridiplantae; Streptophyta; Magnoliopsida; Poales; Poaceae.